GAGGAACAGCCUCUGCUUCUACAAGAUCUUUUGGAUCAAGAGAGGCAGGAGCAGCAGCAGCAAAGACAAAUGCAAGCUAUGAUUCGUCAGCGGUCAGAACCAUUCUUCCCUAACAUUGGUAGGAAAUUCCUUCUGUCUCAAAACAACUUACUGGGGCAUUUGAGUACAUGCAGCAUGCUUGUAAAUACUCAUUGUUGAGAUUACAUAUGGAAUCAGUGUAAUCUGAGAAUUUUCUAUCUUCUCGGGUCUUUAAACUGAAGACAGAAAUUUUAGAUUUCUUCCAGGUCAGUAAAAAUGAAGAUAACCUUGAAUUGUUACCUCAUUCAGUCCGGCUUGUGUUAAUGUGGUUUUAGUUUUAUCUGCCAAUUGUCAUGAGAAGAUAAAUGUAAGGAAAUUAUGAUAGAAAUAAAACUCCUUGUUCUUUUGUGUACAA
Molecule: long non-coding RNA, 433 nt
Filed under: Rattus norvegicus (Norway rat)
Lineage: Eukaryota; Metazoa; Chordata; Mammalia; Rodentia; Muridae
Description: long non-coding RNA NONRATT020116
Source: RNAcentral